CACAAAGUAAUCUUUUUAACAGACUUAGAGAUAAGACAAAAUAUACAAGUUUACAAAACACAACAGAACUGCAUGUAAUCCUGGUCAAUCACAAGAUACUCAAAAAAUGUUUGUAAUCAUGUGUUUCAUGACAGACUAAUGUUAAUACACCUAGAUAAAGUGCUCACCAGAUAUAAUAGAAAUGUAUGUAAUCCUGUCCCCAGACCUACAGAUGAUAGUACACCAAGAUAUACUCACCAGAUAUAAUAGAAAUGUAUGUAAUCCUGUCC
This 269-nucleotide long non-coding RNA is filed under the name Mytilus galloprovincialis (Mediterranean mussel). Lineage: Eukaryota; Metazoa; Mollusca; Bivalvia; Mytilida; Mytilidae. The record is from RNAcentral.